AAUCUUCCGCAAUGGACGAAAGCCUGACGGAGCAACGCCGCGUGAGUGAUGAAGGUUUUCGGAUCGUAAAACUCUGUUGUUAGGGAAGAACAAGUACCGUUCGAACAGGUCGGUGCCUUGACGGUACCUAACCAGAAAGCCACGGCUAACUACGUCCCAGCAGCCGCGGUAAUACGUAGGUGGCAAGCGUUGUCCGGAAUUAUUGGGCGUAAAGCGCGCGCAGGCGGUUUCUUAAGUCUGAUGUGAAAGCCCCCGGCUCAACCGGGGAGGGUCAUUGGAAACUGGGGAACUUGAGUGCAGAAGAGGAGAGUGGAAUUCCACGUGUAGCGGUGAAAUGUGUAGAGAUGUGGAGGAACACCAGUGGCGAAGGCGACUCUCUGGUCUGUAACUGACGCUGAGGCGCGAAAGCGUGGGGAGCGAACAGG
RNAcentral lists this ribosomal RNA (425 nucleotides) under uncultured bacterium. RNAcentral's name for it is "partial 16S ribosomal RNA". It matches the Rfam family "Bacterial small subunit ribosomal RNA", at positions 360 to 776 of the family's 1533-position model. The record is from RNAcentral.